Sinocyclocheilus grahami is the source of this 327-nucleotide long non-coding RNA. RefSeq lists it as uncharacterized. The record is from RefSeq and is a predicted model, not a curated record. NCBI's taxonomy places the organism in Eukaryota, Metazoa, Chordata, Actinopteri, Cypriniformes, Cyprinidae. The transcript is spliced from 3 exons.
AUGGCGGCUGACUUUGCCUUUUGCUUGAUUUUUUUAGGAGGAAAAAAAAUCGGAAAUAUCUGACUGUGCUGACCAAAACGUUCAGGAGUGCAAGGAGGCCCUGUCAAGGGUCCGGGGACAGUUCUCAUUGUCAGCGGUUCUGGAUAGCAUUGCCCACAUCAAAUAAGGUUUUCUUUUUGGUCGGCAUGGACGCAACAUCAAACAUCAAUUUAGAGGAAACAUUUCUGCUCAGCAUCAUAAAAUGAAUCCAUCAGUGCAUCGCCUGCCAUUCUUUCCCUUCUCAUGCAUAAUGGAUGUCAAACCAACCCGGUGAUGGUGCGUAAGCUG